This 463-nucleotide ribosomal RNA is filed under the name uncultured bacterium. RNAcentral's name for it is "partial 16S ribosomal RNA". It matches the Rfam family "Bacterial small subunit ribosomal RNA", at positions 28 to 507 of the family's 1533-position model. The record is from RNAcentral.
GACGAACGCUGGCGGCGUGCUUAACACAUGCAAGUCGAACGGAAAGGCCUUUUCGGAGGUACUCGAGUGGCGCACGGGUGAGUAACACGUGGGUGAUCUGCCCUGCACUCUGGGAUAAGCCUGGGAAACUGGGUCUAAUACCGGAUAGGACCGCACUUUAGUGUGUGUGGUGGAAAGUUUUUUCGGUGUAGGAUGAGCCCGCGGCCUAUCAGCUUGUUGGUGGGGUAAUGGCCUACCAAGGCGGCGACGGGUAGCCGGACUGAGAGGUUGGUCGGCCACAUUGGGACUGAGAUACGGCCCAGACUCCUACGGGAGGCAGCGGUGGGGAAUAUUGCACAAUGGGCGCAAGCCUGAUGCAGCGACGCCGCGUGGGGGAUGACGGCCUUCGGGUUGUAAACUCCUUUCGCCAGGGACGAAGCGUUUUGUGACGGUACCUGGAGAAGAAGCACCGGCUAACUACGUG